Molecule: ribosomal RNA, 1136 nt
Filed under: Arthrobacter psychrochitiniphilus
Lineage: Bacteria; Bacillati; Actinomycetota; Actinomycetes; Micrococcales; Micrococcaceae
Description: bacterial SSU rRNA
Rfam family: Bacterial small subunit ribosomal RNA
Source: RNAcentral
CAUGCAAGUCGAACGAUGAACCUCGCUUGCGGGGGGAUUAGUGGCGAACGGGUGAGUAACACGUGAGUAACCUGCCCUUAACUCUGGGAUAAGCCUUGGAAACGAGGUCUAAUACUGGAUAUUGACUUUACCUCGCAUGGGGUUUUGUUGAAAGAUUUAUUGGUUUUGGAUGGACUCGCGGCCUAUCAGCUUGUUGGUGAGGUAAUGGCUCACCAAGGCGACGACGGGUAGCCGGCCUGAGAGGGUGACCGGCCACACUGGGACUGAGACACGGCCCAGACUCCUACGGGAGGCAGCAGUGGGGAAUAUUGCACAAUGGGCGAAAGCCUGAUGCAGCGACGCCGCGUGAGGGAUGACGGCCUUCGGGUUGUAAACCUCUUUCAGUAGGGAACAAGGCCAGCAUUUUUGUUGGUUGAGGGUACUUGCAGAAGAAGCGCCGGCUAACUACGUGCCAGCAGCCGCGGUAAUACGUAGGGCGCAAGCGUUAUCCGGAAUUAUUGGGCGUAAAGAGCUCGUAGGCGGUUUGUCGCGUCUGCCGUGAAAGUCCGGGGCUCAACCCCGGAUCUGCGGUGGGUACGGGCAGACUAGAGUGAUGUAGGGGAGACUGGAAUUCCUGGUGUAGCGGUGAAAUGCGCAGAUAUCAGGAGGAACACCGAUGGCGAAGGCAGGUCUCUGGGCAUUAACUGACGCUGAGGAGCGAAAGCAUGGGGAGCGAACAGGAUUAGAUACCCUGGUAGUCCAUGCCGUAAACGUUGGGCACUAGGUGUGGGGGACAUUCCACGUUUUCCGCGCCGUAGCUAACGCAUUAAGUGCCCCGCCUGGGGAGUACGGCCGCAAGGCUAAAACUCAAAGGAAUUGACGGGGGCCCGCACAAGCGGCGGAGCAUGCGGAUUAAUUCGAUGCAACGCGAAGAACCUUACCAAGGCUUGACAUGAACCGGAAAUACCUGGAAACAGGUGCCCCGCUUGCGGUCGGUUUACAGGUGGUGCAUGGUUGUCGUCAGCUCGUGUCGUGAGAUGUUGGGUUAAGUCCCGCAACGAGCGCAACCCUCGUUCUAUGUUGCCAGCACGUUAUGGUGGGGACUCAUAGGAGACUGCCGGGGUCAACUCGGAGGAAGGUGAGGACGACGUCAAAUC